GAGAGUGCCAAUGUUGAGGCUGCUCGACUUCUUCAAGAAGCUGCAAGGAUUUUGAAGAGAGAGUCAGAAAGCACAGCCACUGCUGGCUCAGGAUCACAGACUGGUACUGGGAUGUGUUCACCCAGUUCUUUUAGCAGUUUGUUUAACAACAUGCAAACCUCACUAGCUGAAGUACAACAGGGAACCCCUACAGUCGAUUCAGGCAGGAUUCCCUGCACUGUAGCUAGAAAUGACCACAUUCAAAGAAAUCUUGUGCAGCUGUUUCAGCCAUGUGAUCGGGCAAGGGGGCAAAAGAUGUUCCAGAACAUUUGAUUCCUCCCUUUCCAACUCUCAACAUAUUUCUUCACUGGCACGCUCUUACCGUCUCUUUUUGAGCAAUAUCUAUUGCAUUAAACCUGCUGGACUAUGGCCCUCGACGAUCAGGACUGGAGAUCACUGGGUUAAGGUGUAAAUGCACAUGUAACACAUACUAUAAAAAUGAAGCAUGUUAAAAAUAAAUGUGUGUUUGUUUGUUGUAGUGUCAAGAGGUGGUCAUGCAGAAGUGCAAGAGGUGUGAAAAAGAUAUCCCUAUGCAAUGCCUUUCAGAACACAUUGAAAACUGUGGAAGGUCAUCUGUUUUUCUGGUGUAUUUGUAAUUUAAAUUGCUCAUUUCUUUUUACAACAUAGUGGUUGACUUGUAUCUGUGGUAAAUAUGUUUUGACAUUCAACGCAUGUAUGUCUUUGUUAACUGUUUUCAGACAGCCUGAUGACACUGAUUUGGAAGAUGAUGUCGUUAUGGAGAUAUCUGAAGAGACUCAACUAUCUAUGUCAUGACAUGACAACACAUCCCAUGUUCAAAAUUAUUACAGCAAGCACCAUGCUUCUUGUAGUGGACUGUACAGAGACUAUGUGGACCUUGUCAGUGCGCCUCACCCCUCCUCUCACCCCUCGCCCCUCCUCUCACCCCUCGCCUAACCCCUCCUCUCACCCCUCCUCUCACGCCUCGCCUCACCCCGGGUCAGUGUGGCACAGCCUGUCUGCUCUUCUGAACAAACACUUCAGCCCUGCCGACGCAGUGAGAGUCUGGAGCAGCAACACAAGGAUUACGAGCGGAGGCUGCGCUUGUUGAGCCUGGAUGAUAUGGAGCGGCUGGCGACCCGCAUGCUUCACCCCGAGGCUGGGGAGUGCAUGGAGCUGUCCUUCCUGGACUGAGGAAUACUGCUGCUGCCCUCUCCACCUCUCCCCUCUCCCCCCUCUUCUCCUCCCCCUCUCCCCUCUCUCCUCUCCUCUUUACUCUCUCCUCCCCCUCUCCUCUCCUCUCCUUACUUUGUUUAAAAGAAUAGAAGCACACCCAGUGAGCAAGGCAUUGAGCAGCCCCACAUCCCGCUUCACUAUUAGCAGCACCUAGUGCAGUGUGAAAAGAUGAAUUAACCCGGUCUAGUGCUAGAUUGUACAUGUACACAAACAACUGUACCUACAAAAUGCCCAUCUGUUACACUAGUUUUGUGGUUGUUUUAGACCACACACCAAAAAAAUACAAGCAGAUGCGUUACCAAAAUAAACAGUGCUGUAUAAACUACAGAAACUUGAUGCUGAAUGGUUUUAUAGUCUGUUACGUCAGAAUUGUGUUUAAUGCAUAAGCAGUUGCUUUGCAGACUCAACAAAGACUGCAGUCCUCGUUUAACCACUGUGCAAUCAGCCCUUAGUCGCUGUGAUGUUGUUGUUCAUGGAAUUUGAGCGUGCGUACCGGCAAUGGGUAGUAAUUGGAAAAGUGUAAUACAAAAGAAUUAAAAACGGGCUCGUCCGGGAUUUGAACCGGGGAACCUCUCGCACCCGAAACUAUGCUACCCAGCUGCUGGUCCAGGCCCUGGUACUCUCCCGCCUAGACUACUGCAACUCCCUCCUGGCUGGCCUCCCUGCGUCCGCCACCCGUCCGCUCCAGCUCAUCCAGAACUCUGCUGCCCGCCUGGUGUUCUCUCUGCCUCGCUUCGCCCACGCUACUCCACUACUCCGCUCGCUCCACUGGCUCCCGAUCACCGCUCGCAUCCAGCUCAAGACUCUUGUACUCGCCUACAGAUGCCUUGACCAGACUGCACCCAGCUACCUCCAGACCCUCAUCUCUCCCUACACCCCCACUCGACCUCUCUGCUCCGCCUGCACUAGAAGACUGGCUCUACCUCCGCUACGCUCCCCUGCCUCCAGAGCCCGCUCCUUCUCCACCCUUGCUCCGCAGUGGUGGAAUGACCUUCCUACAGAUGUCAGGACUCCCCAGUCCCUGACCACAUUCCGGCGCCUCCUUAAGACUCACCUCUUCAAAGAGCACCUGUAGAACUCCUCUGUUUGUAUCCUGGGACACUAUCACCCUUCAUUCAAAUGUGCUUUAUUUUGUUCUUAUCUGCCCCCUAUUUUACUGCAUUUAGUCCUGUACUUCAGAAUACUGUAAUCUGCCAAGUGUUUAACCUGUAGUACUUUGUAUUUAAUCACAUCCUGAUGUAACUAUCACUAUUUAAUCAUAUCCUGAUGUAACUAUCACUAUUAUCUGCUGUAUUAUUGAAUUGUGGCUUGUCACACUUGAACAAAAAUGAUUGUAUUUCUUGCUCUUAUUUUAUUACUUGUAUUGUAACACUUGAAUGUAUUUUGUAUUUGCUUGCGAUUGUAAGUCGCCCUGGAUAAGGGCGUCUGCUAAGAAAUAAAUAAUAAUAGACCAACGAGCCAGUGUCUGCCACUGUUUUGGUCCCCCGAGUUUCCAAAGAAGUGCAGACCUAGCUGUUCUGUUAGAUGGGAGACGUUUUUCUAUUGGGUGUACCUGUCGAGAGCACUGUAAUUUUGCCGUGUCUCCGAGCUGUGUGCUGUUGCCUGUUUGGGCCGUCUGACUUCUUUAACUGGCGGCUAGCAUUUCUAUGGGCAUCGAGAAGCGGUCGCUAUAAAUGAGGAAAGUAGUUUAGGUGGGAUUUCGUUUUGAUAUGUUAGGAAUGGAUCAGUUAGUCAGCAUGUACUUCAAAAAAUAAAUAGAAAAAAAGGAGGCUGGGUUUCGUUGUUUUGCAAAGGAUGCACUGCAACGUCCGCUCACAGGAGCAGUCCCACUACUGGUGCGACACGGGGGUUUUGACCUGCUCCGUUCCCGACCUGGGCCGGUUCACCCCUCCUUAGACGACCUGGCAUUCACGAGCUCCCCCAGAUAUGCCAUGUCGAUGCCGUGCUAAGUGCGGACUCCCGAUCGGCACAGCCAGUUGCAGCACAGAGCUCCCGUGCUCAAGCGAUCCGCCAGCCUCGACCCGCCCCUGUAGCUGGGAUUACAGACACACGCCACGGCGCCCGGCGUGAGCGAGAGCGGCUAGAAGGCAAUUCAAACCCCCUUGUCUGAAAUGAGAGCGAGAGUACUCGUGCAGUUCACUGACGUGGCAGCUUUUAAUGCCGAUUGCAUUAAAAGCAUUGCCGGGUCCUGC
Molecule: long non-coding RNA, 3425 nt
Organism: Acipenser ruthenus (sterlet)
Lineage: Eukaryota; Metazoa; Chordata; Actinopteri; Acipenseriformes; Acipenseridae
Exons: 3
Source: RefSeq, a predicted model, not a curated record